UCAUUUUUGUGAAAUAGGAAUGCAGAUAUUACUUUAUUUUGAUACAGAUUAUUAACCUCCAUAUUUUUCAGUAUUUUUUGUACAUCAGGAUUGUCUGUUUUUCAUAAAAUAUGCUUUCUUUAAGGAAAAAGAUACUAAAUUUUCAUACGCGUUGCCUAAAAUGCAAAUAUUUCUUCAUUUUAGUGAAAUUAUUGACCGCAAUUUUUGUACUUUUUAUAGUUUAAAGUAGGUUGUUUCUCAUAGAUCAUAAGAUUUAAAAUAGUUUAACUUUCAUUUUUGUGAAAAAGGAAUGCAGAUAUUACUUUAUUUUGAUAAAAAUUAUUAACCGCCAUAUGAUUUUAGUACUUUUGGCCCUGUUAUAGAUUUGAGGGGAGCUGUAUUGGACCCGAGACUCGACGACACCUUAUCGAGAUUAUACAGAAAAAUCAAACUUCUGAGGAUUCACUAUAAUUCGUGGGGUACAAGUUUUAAUGGAUUUCGUUGGUAUAGAUAUACCACAAAUUACAGUUAUGAGGCAGCAAUUCAUCUACAAAGUUGAUCUAAGGACAGUUCCAUAUGAAUAAUAGAAAAUGUGUGUGAAAUGCGUUACACAUAUAUAUACGAGACAACAACCUAAUGACAAAAUUUACAUGAGACUUUCAAUUUUAGUAAAGAAGAUGUUGGUAUUACGUAUAGGCAGUUAUAAAUGACAAAAUAAUAAAACUAAUCAAUACACAACUGCGUUGUAUGAUAUCAAGAAGGAUUUUCGGUCAUAAUUGUCAAUACGGAGCUUCGGUCAUGAUUAUCAAUAAGAAGAUUCGGGCAUGAUUAUCAAUGAGGAGAUUCUGACAUAUUUGGCAAUAAGGAAGAUAGAGAAGAUGUUGGUAGUAUAUGAGGCAGUUAUGUAAUGCAAAAAUAAGAAAAAUAAUCAGUACGCAUUAAAUACGU
RNAcentral lists this long non-coding RNA (927 nucleotides) under Mytilus galloprovincialis (Mediterranean mussel). Lineage: Eukaryota; Metazoa; Mollusca; Bivalvia; Mytilida; Mytilidae. The record is from RNAcentral.